UUUGAUCCUGGCUCAGAUUGAACGCUGGCGGAAUGCUUUACACAUGCAAGUCGAACGGCAGCACGGGAGCUUGCUCCUGGUGGCGAGUGGCGAACGGGUGAGUAACAUAUCGGAACGUACCCAGUCGUGGGGGAUAACUAUCCGAAAGGAUAGCUAAUACCGCAUACGUCCUGAGGGAGAAAGCGGGGGAUCGCAAGACCUCGCGCGAUUGGAGCGGCCGAUAUCGGAUUAGCUAGUUGGUGGGGUAAAGGCUCACCAAGGCGACGAUGCGUAGCGGGUCUGAGAGGACGACCCGCCACACUGGAACUGAGACACGGUCCAGACUCCUACGGGAGGCAGCAGUGGGGAAUUUUGGACAAUGGGGGCAACCCUGAUCCAGCCAUUCCGCGUGAGUGAAAGAAGGCCUUCGGGUUGUAAAGCUCUUUCAGCAGGAACGAAACGGUCGGCUUUAAUAAAGUCGGCUAAUGACGGUACCUGCAGAAGAAGCACCGGCUAACUACGUGCCAGCAGCCGCGGUAAUACGUAGGGUGCGAGCGUU
This 538-nucleotide ribosomal RNA is filed under the name uncultured beta proteobacterium. RNAcentral describes it as "bacterial SSU rRNA". It matches the Rfam family "Bacterial small subunit ribosomal RNA", at positions 12 to 542 of the family's 1533-position model. The record is from RNAcentral. Lineage: Bacteria; Pseudomonadati; Pseudomonadota; Betaproteobacteria.